GCCGACCUAGCUCAAUUGGCAGAGCAACUGAUUUGUAAUCAGUAGGUUGCUGGUUCGAUUCCGGUGGUCGGCACCA
This 76-nucleotide transfer RNA is filed under the name Erysipelotrichaceae bacterium. Its description in RNAcentral is "tRNA-Thr". It matches the Rfam family "tRNA". Rfam says of the family: Transfer RNA (tRNA) molecules are approximately 80 nucleotides in length. The record is from RNAcentral. Lineage: Bacteria; Bacillati; Bacillota; Erysipelotrichia; Erysipelotrichales; Erysipelotrichaceae.